AUUCCCUUGACUCAGAUAAUCUGUUAUUCUAUAAAAUGCAUCAUUUUGCAUAGUGCACUUUUAGCAAAUCCACUGGAGUUUGUUGUUGUAAACUUUUACAAAAAAAUUUCUACUCUGAAACCAGUGCAAGUAAACCUUUUUUAACCAAAUAUUAAAUUUUAAUUGAAUAGUUGAUGUUUGAGUGGGAAAAUAUCAAAAUGCACCCAAACCUGUUUAAAAGGUCACCUCCUCUAACUUUUCUUGACCGAUCAUUAACACUUGUCCUGCUGUUAUAAUACCUAUGCCUUCUCAACCUCCAUUCAAAUGUCACUUUUUUUAUACAGACAAAGAUUCAUAACUUUAUACUCCUGCUAAUUUUCAAAAUAAAAAAAUAAAAUUCAAUACUUCAAACUGUUUUGCUUAGUAGAAUCUCAACCGGGUGACCUCCUUAAAUCAAUUGGACUGGUAAACAAAACCAAAUGUCUAAAGUUUCUAAAGCAAAUACAUUUAUAAUAGUGCCUUUAUCAUUAAGCAAUAUAAGGUCUAUACACAGUUUGCUUCAGUUACCAAUUAAAGAAAGAUUUAUUGGUAAAAAUAAGGAUUCAGUAUGUCUCUACAUUAAUUCUGAGUAUCCAUACUGUGUUUGUCUUGU
This 631-nucleotide long non-coding RNA is filed under the name Mytilus galloprovincialis (Mediterranean mussel). Lineage: Eukaryota; Metazoa; Mollusca; Bivalvia; Mytilida; Mytilidae. The record is from RNAcentral.